RNAcentral lists this RNase P RNA (380 nucleotides) under Pirellulaceae bacterium. RNAcentral's name for it is "RNase P RNA component class A". It matches the Rfam family "Bacterial RNase P class A". From Rfam's summary of the family: Ribonuclease P (RNase P) is a ubiquitous endoribonuclease, found in archaea, bacteria and eukarya as well as chloroplasts and mitochondria. Its best characterised activity is the generation of mature 5'-ends of tRNAs by cleaving the 5'-leader elements of precursor-tRNAs. Lineage: Bacteria; Pseudomonadati; Planctomycetota; Planctomycetia; Pirellulales; Pirellulaceae. The record is from RNAcentral.
AAAGUAGAGAGGAUGGUCGCCGGUCUGCUAUUGGCAGACGGGAGGAAAGUCCGGGCUCCACAGGACAGAGUGGUCGAUAACGUCGACCGACCGUAAGGUCAGAGAUAGUGCAACAGAGAGUAGACCGCCAGUUUACUGGUAAGGGUGAAAGGGUGCGGUAAGAGCGCACCAGCAGCUAUGGCGACAUGGUUGGCUAGGUAAACCUCACUCGGAGCAAGGCUAAGCAGAAAGAAAAACAGGCUCGCCUGUUUACGAGUCGGUCCGGCUCGUUCGACUUUCGGGUAAGCUGCUUGAGCAAUUUAGCAAUAAAUUGCCUAGAUAAAUGGCCAUCACUAUUUUUAAAAAUAGUUACAAAACCCGGCUUAUUCUCUACUUUUUAU